This 3728-nucleotide long non-coding RNA is filed under the name Malus domestica (apple). RNAcentral describes it as "long non-coding RNA (MDOM_LNC001470)". The record is from RNAcentral. Lineage: Eukaryota; Viridiplantae; Streptophyta; Magnoliopsida; Rosales; Rosaceae.
UGAGGACAGAAGGCAGAGAGAUGGAUAGAUAGAACAGAAGCAAAAGAGUGAGGACGGAAGGCAGAGAGAUGGAUAGAUAGAACAGACGGGAAAGAGUGAGGGCAGAGAGCAGAGAAGUGAAAGCAGGGAAGUGUGCGGAGAGAGAAGCGCAGAGUGAGGGCGGAGAGCAGAGAAGUGAAAGCAGCGAAGCAGCACUUGCGGGGAGAAAAACAGAAGGAGCAAGCUGCCUUAUCUCUCGGUUAAAUCUUUCCAAACUUAUAUUUUAUUUCUGUUUUAAUAAUGUGUAACUAAAUUUAUUUUGGCUAGAGGUUAAUUCAAAGCCAUGAAUAUAUUUGUAAUAUGAAUUGAUUACCUUCAAUUGUGAUUUCUGAGUUGUGAUUUAAUUUGUUAACUGCUUGAUUGAUAGCUUAUUUUUUGUAUGUCGAUUAAGAAUGCAUAACUAAUUUACAUGCAUGAAUUUUGACGCUAGAAUAUAAGGGAGUUUCACCUAAUCGUUAUGAACUAUAUUCACAAGUAGUGAAGGUUGCUAGCACAAUCACGUUAAGUAUUCUUGGCAUAAUUUCAUGCAAAUCAUAGUAACGAGUGUCCUCGUCAAUGCUUUUUUUCAUAGAAUAAUGAUUGUUGUUUGUAUUCUAUUAUGCAAUUCAUGUAGGGAACUUGUAGGGAAUGUUUUGGGUUGUCGUAUGCAAUCAUAACCCAAUAACUUGUGGAAAAACUGAAGGUUAAUUAGUGCAUCACGGUUAUUUUGGGGCAUUGAGAUUUACAAUUUAUUGAAAGAACAACUGAAAAUCAAUUUAGGUGCAUAUGUUCAUGUGUGGAAAGAACCCUCUAGCAGUCCGUCACCUAUCAUUUCACCUUAAUUCAUGCUUUUGUCAAUUCUGUAAUUUAUUUAAGUUAAUUUACUUCUCGUCAAAACCAAACCCCCCCCCCCAUUAUUAAAUUAUAUUAUUUAGUUAGUUUUCAUUGUUGUUAGUGUUUAAUUCAAUUUCCGUCCAUUUCAUUUCCUAGUGGUCAAUUUGAUUGUUUUCAUUAUUUUGAGUCAUUCUAAGUGUGUUCGAUUAUUAGAGUUUAGCCUAGUUUUGUGUCUUUGAGUCUUGUUUAAUAUUUUUAAAUUAAUUUAGAAUAGAUUAGCAAUCCCUCCUAAUCCCCGGCCUAGAACGAUACCCUAUACAUCUAUACUACAAUUCAAAAAGAGGGUAAAUUUUGUGUGCUUAUAUUAUUCGCAUCAAUUUUUGGCGCCGUUGCCGGGGAUUAGCAACUUUGCUAAUCCCUUUAUUUUUUUUUGUUUAUGUUUAUAUUGGUGUUUGUGUAUUUUACUUUUGAUAUUUGAUUAGUUUUCUUUUUUGAUUUUAGGUACAAAUGGAGCAAGACAUGGCAUUUGCGACCAUUCAAGCUCAAUUGGCACAGCUCACUGCUCAAUUGACUCAUAAUGCCGAACGGACACAAUGCCAAGUGUCCCUACACUUGAUGUGCCCUAUGGGCAAGGAUAUCAAAGUCCUCAUUUUCUGCAAAAUGAAGAUGUUUGGGGAUAUCAAGGCCAAACCAAUCAAGGGGCAACAUGUUUUCCAAUGCUUGCAAUUCAAUUGGAGAGGUAAUUCAGAUUAUUGUGGGAUGAACCUCAACAAUUUCAACAAGGUGGAUAUUGCAGCAAGACGAGUUCUAUUCAAAACCUAUGCAGCCCCACAGCAUCCCCCACAACAAUUCCAAUCAAAUCAAAGUAUGCCGUGAAUUAUAUGAAAUUUUGAAGGACUAAUUUCUUUGACGCGGGUUCACAAAAAGAAGAACAAUUGUCGCCACGGAAGAGUUCUAUCAGUGGCCAUAUUGAACCGUCACAGCCACACAACAAUCAGCCCAAUUCAAUUCAGGUACGUCCUUGAAUAAUGAUACACUUAAUAAGUUACUCACCUCUUUGAAUCAGGGAGUAGAAAAUCAAAACCAGGAGAUGCAAGACCGAGUCAAAAGAGUGGACGAAUGGAUAUGCAAGUUUGGGCAGAUUGUGGAAUUCAUGGCACAGAUUCGAGAUCAAAGUGAACUUUCCAACUCAAACAUUGCAAAUUCAAGGCAGAAAGUGAAAUCGAUGAAGCCAUCACUUUGGAAGGUGACAUGAAGGAUGAAGCUGUCCAGAACCAUCAAAACAGCACCGAACAUGGAUGAAUUGAUGCUGCAAGCAGAAGAUGAGGAGGACGACCUGGGCAGUUUAGAAGAAUUUUGCUGCAACCUCCUCAAAUCCCUAUGUCAUCCAACUCAGGUGAGGAAGUUCUAAAUUCACUUCUUCUAACAUUAUUCCACCGAAUGUCCUUUUGUCCUUGCAGGUUUUUGAUUCCAAAUAUCAAAGAGAGUGAAAAAGCAUUGUGGAAGCUCUUCCAAAGGUGCAAGUGAUAUCCCAAUCUUGGUGCACCAAAACAAAGUUCCCCGAUGGUAUUGAAACGUUCAAAGAACCUUGCAACCAAGAAAAGGGAUUCAAGAAAAUGAAGUGGUUGAAGCAUAUCAAGAAUACAUCCAAGAGCUGUGCAUGAGACAAUCAAGCCCAAAGCAGUUGAGUUUGAACACGGGACAAGCCACAACCAUCAUAGUAAACCUGGCCAAGUUCAAAGUCCCGGAAAUGUUCAAAAAUGUGGUGUUUUGUCAUUGAGUUUGUGUCGGAAAAAGAAAGUAAGCCAUCUUCUCCAAUUUUAAUUUUAAUUUAUACUAACAUGUUUCUGAUUUUGNUGCGAUUGCUUCAUUCAUUUGAGCCAGCUGCUCAUCGAUUGAAGUUGCACCAAUGGUCAUGACUUGCAUGGCUGAACUGUCGCUUGAAUCGGCAUCAGAGAGCAUGGAUUCGGAGUAUUUGAUCGGAUCAUAUUUUUAUAUAUUUUUACUUCGAAUUCACUCAUCUUUUCUUAGUUAGUUCCUUAUAUUUUUGAGCUAUUUACGUUAUUUUUGUGUUUAUAGGAUUUGUUAUGCAAAGAAAAUAAAAAUAGAACAAGUGAAAUUUUAUGUAAUAUAUUCGUCAAAACUGCUUGUGUAGAUCAGCUGACUUUGGGAGCAAGUUGCGAACAGCUCAGAAUGAAUUAGAGAAUGAGCCUUAUAUGCUUGGAAAGCUACAGAUGUCUAUUUUCUAGAACACUUCGCAGAUUGUUAAUAUUAUUUUUCUAGAAGAAGUUAUGGGCAUUUGAGUAAGGGAAGGUCUAGCUGACAACAACUUGCAGAUUGGAAUUGAAAAACAGACAAAGAUGACAAAGAAGAGCAUAAAACAUAAAAUCAUGAUGCAUAAUCAUGAUGAAUGAUUAAGGCUGCCCUUUGGUUUUGUCUGAAAGGCAACAAAUACAGCAAAGCACAAGGUUGGCAAAUAGAAGAAAAGUCAAAUAAAGAAAUAAAUAAAAAACAGCAAGUAGAUGAGGGCUCCAGCGAAGAGUGAGAACAGACAGAGUGAGGACAGAAGGCAGAGAGAUGGAUAGAUAGAACAGAAGCAAAAAGAGUGAGGACGGAGGCAGAGAGAUGGAUAGAUUAGAACAGACGGGAAAGAGUGAGGGCAGAGAGCAGAGAAGUGAGCAGGAAGUGUGCGGAGAGAGAAGCGCAGAGUGAGGGCGGAGAGCAGAGAAGUGAAAGCAGCGAAGCAGCCUUGCGGGGAGAAAAAAGAAGGAGCAAGCUGCCUAUCUCUCGGUUAAAUCUUUCCAAACUUAUAUUUUAUUUCUGUUUAAAUAAUGUGUAACUAAAUUUAUUUUGGCUAGAGGUUAAUUCAAAGCCAU